This 71-nucleotide transfer RNA is filed under the name Marmota monax (woodchuck). RNAcentral's name for it is "tRNA.Ala". The record is from RNAcentral. Lineage: Eukaryota; Metazoa; Chordata; Mammalia; Rodentia; Sciuridae.
GGGGAUGUAACUCAGUGGUAGAGUAUGUGCCUAGCAUGCCCUGGCCCUGCAUUCGAUCCCCAGCACCACCA